This 468-nucleotide ribosomal RNA is filed under the name uncultured bacterium. RNAcentral describes it as "partial 16S ribosomal RNA". It matches the Rfam family "Bacterial small subunit ribosomal RNA", at positions 28 to 507 of the family's 1533-position model. The record is from RNAcentral.
GACGAACGCUGGCGGCGUGCUUAACACAUGCAAGUCGAACGGAAAGGCCCUGCUUGCAGGGUGCUCGAGUGGCGAACGGGUGAGUAACACGUGGGUGAUCUGCCCCUUACUUUGGGAUAAGCCUGGGAAACUGGGUCUAAUACUGGAUAGGACCAUGCUGUAGGUGGUGUGGUGGAAAGAUUAGUUUCGGUAAGGGAUGAGCUCGCGGCCUAUCAGCUUGUUGGUGGGGUAAUGGCCUACCAAGGCGUCGACGGGUAGCCGGCCUGAGAGGGUGGACGGCCACAUUGGGACGGCGAUACGGCCCAGACUCCUACGGGAGGCAGCAGUGGGGAAUAUUGCACAAUGGGCGCAAGCCUGAUGCAGCGACGCCGCGUGGGGGAUGACGGCCUUCGGGUUGUAAACUCCUUUCAGCCAUGACGAAGCCUUCGGGUGACGGUAGUGGUAGAAGAAGCACCGGCUAACUACGUG